GACGAACGCUGGCGGCGUGCUUAACACAUGCAAGUCGUACGGUAAGGCCCUUUCGGGGGUCCACGAGUGGCGAACGGGUGAGUAACACGUGAGUAACCUGCCCACAACUUUGGGAUAACGCUAGGAAACUGGUGCUAAUACUGGAUAUGUGCUCCUGCUGCAUGGUGGGGGUUGGAAAGCUCCGGCGGUUGUGGAUGGACUCGCGGCCUAUCAGCUUGUUGGUGGGGUAGUGGCCUACCAAGGCGGCGACGGGUAGCCGGCCUGAGGGGGUGACCGGCCACAUUGGGACUGAGAUACGGCCCAGACUCCGACGGGAGGCAGCAGUGGGGAAUAUUGCACAAUGGGCGCAAGCCUGAUGCAGCAACGCCGCGUGCGGGAUAACGGCCUUCGGGUUGUAAACCGCUUUCAGCAGGGACGAAGCUUUUUGUGACGGUACCUGCAGAAGAAGCACCGGCUAACUACGUG
Molecule: ribosomal RNA, 465 nt
Filed under: uncultured bacterium
Lineage: Bacteria
Description: partial 16S ribosomal RNA
Rfam family: Bacterial small subunit ribosomal RNA
Source: RNAcentral